ACGGCAAGAGAUUGGAGACACCGCCAUGGCUGCAAAUAUCGGUUGCAAGACGUCACCGUCCGGGUUGCCCCGCCAAGAUACGGGUCCAAUUGUUCUUUUCCCUCGCCAAUUUGCUCAGAGACAGAAGAAAAAAUUAUCAUCACAGCCUCAGAUUUUUCAUACAAUUAUUAUUAGUAGUAGUAGUAGUAGUACUAUCGAUUCUCUUUUUGGGAGUGAGUAUUUGGAGGUACAGUAGAGGGGUCGUUUGGACAUAGUUUACUGCAGAAGGGCAUCUUUGGCAAAAAUGAAAUCACAGGAAUUAGCAGAGAGGAGCAGCUGCCCUUGAACUUUCCUCUACUCUCUGCAACCCUCAUUCUCUGUCUCUGAGCUUUUGGUCUGAUGCUAAAGCUAAUACUUAGAAGCAAAAAGUAGUUGAAAUUUAAAGAAGAAGAAGAUAUAGAUCUAUUUCACAGUGCUUAAGAGGCUCAGAUCUGCAAAGAGAGAUCGGGCACAAGAGAGGCGACCGCGCCAUGGCUGCAAAAUAACCGAUUGCAUGCAAAGAAAAAACCUUCGAAUCGCCGGCCGUCCGGUGAUUUGCCAGGCCAAGAUACGGGUCGGAUAGUCUUUAUGCCCGAUCCAGUUAGCCCAGAAUCCGGAUAAAAUGUCAUCACUGCCUCAAUUGUUAUGUAUCAAAAAAGAGGAACUAAAAUCACAGAAACAGAAAUCUGGCUGUUGUUGUUGAUUGAUGCUCAAGAAAUGACUGUAUAGUAGUACGUAUUUCCAGGAAUUCAAGGGCUGUUGAUUUUUUUUAAAGUGGAAAAAGGAAAAUCAUUGGCUUAACAGAGAGGGCAACCACCCUUUGAACAAAAACCCCCAAACUCUCUAUUUUUGCCUCAUUUUUUUCUGGGCUAACUUUCUUUGCUGGGAUU
Molecule: long non-coding RNA, 908 nt
Filed under: Nicotiana tabacum (common tobacco)
Lineage: Eukaryota; Viridiplantae; Streptophyta; Magnoliopsida; Solanales; Solanaceae
Description: long non-coding RNA (NTAB_LNC005909)
Source: RNAcentral